AAAAGAGAAUUAACAGCAUAGAAAUUAUGCCUAAAAGCCAGGUAUUUAUAUACCAGGUUUCUCUUACUGAUAACUCUGGAUUGAGUUGUUUCCAUUAAAUCAACAAUAUUAAAUGUCUUGGGGUGGAGCCAAGAUGGCCAAAUAAGAACAGCUCCAGUCUACAACUCCCAGCAUGAGCGACGCAGAAGACGGGUGAUUUCUGCAUUUCCAACUGAGGUACUGGGUUCAUCUUACUGGGAAGUGUUGGACAGUGGGUGCAG
Molecule: long non-coding RNA, 260 nt
Filed under: Homo sapiens (human)
Lineage: Eukaryota; Metazoa; Chordata; Mammalia; Primates; Hominidae
Description: HSALNT0136331
Source: RNAcentral